RNAcentral lists this long non-coding RNA (415 nucleotides) under Homo sapiens (human). Its description in RNAcentral is "non-protein coding lnc-SYNC-1:3". The record is from RNAcentral. Lineage: Eukaryota; Metazoa; Chordata; Mammalia; Primates; Hominidae.
GCCAGUCCCCACCAUUGCCAGCUGUGUGGGGCAGUCUGGGAGAGGAGCGCCUCUGCCACUGUAACAACUAGCCUUUGCUGGACUGCCUCGCCCACUCCAGCUGGGGUGCUUCACUUCUGUGAUUGCCUUUAAUGCUCCGAACAGCCCUGGGAAGUAGGGCCGAUCACCUCCAAUUCACAGGUUCAAAGUCCCUGGGUUGGGGACACUGACGGGGCUGGACAUGGCCAGGGAUUCCACCAGGGGCUUUAAGAGUCAUGGAAUUGCCGGGCGCUGUGGCUCACACCUGUAAUCCCAGGAGUUUGGGAGGCUGAGGCAGGAGGAUCACUUGAGCCCAGAAGCUUGAGACCAGCCUAGACAACAACGUGAGACCCUGUCUCUACAAAGAAAUAAAAUUAGCUGGGUGUGGUGGUGCACA